Molecule: ribosomal RNA, 400 nt
Filed under: uncultured Gammaproteobacteria bacterium
Lineage: Bacteria; Pseudomonadati; Pseudomonadota; Gammaproteobacteria
Description: bacterial SSU rRNA
Rfam family: Bacterial small subunit ribosomal RNA
Source: RNAcentral
GAUCUCCUACGGGAGGCAGCAGUGGGGAAUAUUGCACAAUGGGCGCAAGCCUGAUGCAGCCAUGCCGCGUGUAUGAAGAAGGCCUUCGGGUUGUAAAGUACUUUCAGCAGUGAGGAAGGUGGUAGUGUUAAUAGCACUAUCAUUUGACGUUAGCUGCAGAAGAAGCACCGGCUAACUCCGUGCCAGCAGCCGCGGUAAUACGGAGGGUGCGAGCGUUAAUCGGAAUUACUGGGCGUAAAGCGCAUGCAGGUGGUUUGUUAAGUCAGAUGUGAAAGCCCGGGGCUCAACCUCGGAAUUGCAUUUGAAACUGGCAGACUAGAGUACUGUAGAGGGGGGUAGAAUUUCAGGUGUAGCGGUGAAUGCGUAGAGAUCUGAAGGAACACCAGUGGCGAAAGCGACA